This 1658-nucleotide ribosomal RNA is filed under the name Salmonella enterica. RNAcentral's name for it is "partial 23S ribosomal RNA". It matches the Rfam family "Bacterial large subunit ribosomal RNA", at positions 1292 to 2925 of the family's 2925-position model. RNAcentral also lists the same sequence under 1 other name. The record is from RNAcentral. Lineage: Bacteria; Pseudomonadati; Pseudomonadota; Gammaproteobacteria; Enterobacterales; Enterobacteriaceae.
GAAUGCUGACAUAAGUAACGAUAAAGCGGGUGAAAAGCCCGCUCGCCGGAAGACCAAGGGUUCCUGUCCAACGUUAAUCGGGGCAGGGUGAGUCGACCCCUAAGGCGAGGCCGAAAGGCGUAGUCGAUGGGAAACGGGUUAAUAUUCCCGUACUUGGUGUUACUGCGAAGGGGGGACGGAGAAGGCUAUGUUGGCCGGGCGACGGUUGUCCCGGUUUAAGCGUGUAGGUGUGUGUUCCAGGUAAAUCCGGUUCACUUUAACACUGAGGCGUGAUGACGAGGCACCACGGUGCUGAAGCAACAAAUGCCCUGCUUCCAGGAAAAGCCUCUAAGCCUCAGGUAACAUCAAAUCGUACCCCAAACCGACACAGGUGGUCAGGUAGAGAAUACCAAGGCGCUUGAGAGAACUCGGGUGAAGGAACUAGGCAAAAUGGUGCCGUAACUUCGGGAGAAGGCACGCUGACACGUAGGUGAAGUGGUUUACCCAUGGAGCUGAAGUCAGUCGAAGAUACCAGCUGGCUGCAACUGUUUAUUAAAAACACAGCACUGUGCAAACACGAAAGUGGACGUAUACGGUGUGACGCCUGCCCGGUGCCGGAAGGUUAAUUGAUGGGGUCAGCGCAAGCGAAGCUCCUGAUCGAAGCCCCGGUAAACGGCGGCCGUAACUAUAACGGUCCUAAGGUAGCGAAAUUCCUUGUCGGGUAAGUUCCGACCUGCACGAAUGGCGUAAUGAUGGCCAGGCUGUCUCCACCCGGGACUCAGUGAAAUUGAACUCGCUGUGAAGAUGCAGUGUACCCGCGGCAAGACGGAAAGACCCCGUGAACCUUUACUAUAGCUUGACACUGAACACUGGUCCUUGAUGUGCAGGAUAGGUGGGAGGCUUUGAAGUGUGGACGCCAGUCUGCAUGGAGCCAUCCUUGAAAUACCACCCUUUAAUGGCUGGUGUUCUAACGUGGGCCCGUGAACCGGGUUGCGGACAGUGUCUGGUGGGUAGUUUGACUGGGGCGGUCUCCUCCUAAAGAGUAACGGAGGAGCACGAAGGUUGGCUAAUCCUGGUCGGACAUCAGGAGGUUAGUGCAAUGGCAUAAGCCAGCUUGACUGCGAGCGUGACGGCGCGAGCAGGUGCGAAAGCAGGUCAUAGUGAUCCGGUGGUUCUGAAUGGAAGGGCCAUCGCUCAACGGAUAAAAGGUACUCCGGGGAUAACAGGCUGAUACCGCCCAAGAGUUCAUAUCGACGGCGGUGUUUGGCACCUCGAUGUCGGCUCAUCACAUCCUGGGGCUGAAGUAGGUCCCAAGGGUAUGGCUGUUCGCCAUUUAAAGUGGUACGCGAGCUGGGUUUAGAACGUCGUGAGACAGUUCGGUCCCUAUCUGCCGUGGGCGCUGGAAGAUUGAGGGGGGCUGCUCCUAGUACGAGAGGACCGGAGUGGACGCAUCACUGGUGUUCGGGUUGUCAUGCCAAUGGCACUGCCCGGUAGCUACAUGCGGAAGAGAUAAGUGCUGAAAGCAUCUAAGCACGAAACUUGCCCCGAGAUGAAUCUUCCCUGAGCCUUUAAGGCUCCUGAAGGAACGUUGAAGACGACGACGUUGAUAGGCCGGGUGUGUAAGCGCAGCGAUGCGUUGAGCUAACCGGUACUAAUGAACCGUGAGGCUUAACCUUACA